Molecule: non-coding RNA, 497 nt
Organism: Salmo salar (Atlantic salmon)
Lineage: Eukaryota; Metazoa; Chordata; Actinopteri; Salmoniformes; Salmonidae
Source: RefSeq, a predicted model, not a curated record
AGCUGGGCUCGAGUUGCUUGACUUGAUGAGCUAACUUCGACUAGCUACAUUCGUUCAUGUCUAUUGCAGAUGCCACAUUACUGAAAAAAGUUUGUACACAUAAAAAAGAUCUGUAACCGAGUAAAGGGAGACGUAAGACACUCCUCCACGACAUGAGGGCCAAGUGGAGAAAGAAGCGUAUGCGCAGGCUGAAGCGCAAGAGGCGAAAGAUGAGGCAGAGGUCCAAGUAGACUGCCUCCCCCUACAACACCAUGGCUGUGACCCUUCUGGACACAACACGGGACCAAGGAUCUCAUGUGCAAAGUCUGAUCAGAGCUGUGCCAUCAUUGCCAAUGAGAGGCUGCAAAGAGACAGUUCUACUGUUGUCUUGGUCAAGAGACUCCACCACCUGCCUGGGAAAUUUGAUAUGGGGACAUUCUGGAUUCUCUACUCUUCUACCAAACCUACCCUACUCCAUUGCUUUUGUUUAUAAUUUCCAAUAAAGUUUUUGGUUUAAA